This 6237-nucleotide long non-coding RNA is filed under the name Triticum aestivum (bread wheat). RNAcentral describes it as "long non-coding RNA (TAES_LNC011269)". The record is from RNAcentral. Lineage: Eukaryota; Viridiplantae; Streptophyta; Magnoliopsida; Poales; Poaceae.
UAGCACCAUCAAAUCAGCAUGUAACAAACAUACUAUAGAUUAUCAAUAGCAGACAACUACAAUUCAGUUAGGCCAAGAACACCAAAUCAGGAAUGAAUAGCAUAACACGGAAUGUAAAAAAAAAUUGUUGUGCCGUAGUGUUACCAAUUUUCAUGUAAAUUUGAAUCUAGUCGGCACUUCCCCUCUGCAAGCGGCAUCAUAGUCUUCAGCAAGGUAUGGUGCAACUUCCUUGUGAGGGGAUAUGUACUUGUCCACGAAUACUUUCUCCAUCACAAUGACUGCAGAAUAGUAGCUCCGGUUGUGAUCCAGCAGUCCAUUUUCCUUGAGAAACUUUACAACAUAGUACCGGGGUAUGAUCCGGCCCUCCAGGCUGUAUGUGAGCAAUGCCGGAUGAUGAGCAAUGUAUGCUGGUUCAAACCCCACCUUGGAUAUUAGGAACUCUGACUUGCUCUCCAGCAUAUGGUUAGACCUCAUCAGCAGAGGCGGAAGCGUGGACAAAGCAAUGCGCACCUCGACAUCAGACCACCUGAACAUCUUCUUCAAGUGCUCCACUUUGGCGGCGAUCUUCUCAUUGCUGAGGAAUGCAACAGCCUGCAGCGCGUGCCUGAACAUCCGAGAGCCACAGGGCACACCAAUAUCUUGGGCGCGUGCUGCCAUUGCCCGGACGCACUCUAUGUUGGAGCCAAGCAGCAUUAGCUGAGCCAUGCACAACUUGGCAAUGUCACAGUCACCUAGCCCGCAGGAACGCAGGAAGGCAACAUUGGGCUUGACCACUGUCUCAAGGUCGGCUGAGAGAAAGCAUGAGCCGCGCCUGAGAGCAGGGAGGAGGUUCUCAAAGGAGCCGAAGAGGUGCAGGAAGUAUUGCAGAUUUGAGACGAAGGAUCUACAUCGGAACUUGUCACGGGAGAGCGAGACGAGGUGCGCGAUGUCAGAACGUGAGAGGCCGAGGCCGGUGAGCCCAGCGACGACGGGGGCCAGGGUUCUCUCCACUUUGGCGCAGAGGAACUGCGGGUCCUUGGCGACGAGGGCGGCGACGUCGGCGCUGGAGAGGCCGAGGCCGGCGAGGAUGGCGAGGACGGCGUCGGGAUUGGAGGGGGACUUGAGGUGGGAGAGCUUGGCGGAGGCCUUGAGGGCCUGGGGUCGGGUGAGGCCGCAGGUGGCGACGAGGUACUCCUCCACCGCGAAGCUAGGGUUCGGGGAGACGGCGGGCGCGGCGGCGGAGAAGAGGCGGCGGAGGUGGGAGGCGGGAGACGCGGAGGGAGAUGAGAGGAGCUGGGUGAGGAGGCAGCACCGGAGCCGGAGCAUGGCGGCGGCGGCGGCGGCGGCGAGGGAAUGGGGAAAGCGCGGUGGAGUGAUUUGCGUGGGUGUGAUCUGUUCUGAUCUGGUUCGACCCAACCUAGGUGAGCUCCUUUCCCUCGAAAAAUUAAAGAAAAGAAAAACAGGUGGGCUCCCACCCGUCAGUCUCAUGCCACGUCAUGUUUUAUUGCUUCUUUCUUUUUAUCGCUUCGUUCCAGAAGAAUGAGGAAAAAUAAGUUGGAGAAUGUAACAACAUGAUAAAUAUGACAAGGAGAUUAUCGAGUUCAGAAUACUCCAACAUCCAAGUUCAUAAUCGAAACUCGUCAAAUGAAUCAAAAUUACGGAUACUGACACAUUCACCUUUAAAAAAUAGUGUGGAUAAUAUAGAGGAAUCACUGGGUACCGAUAAAUUAUUUCCAGCAACAGCGAGAAACAUGAUAGUAGGAGGGACGGGCCUUGUCACAUCUUUGUGCAUAUAAAUUGGAUCUCUCGAAUGCCUAUGGUCGUGUCGGUUGAGACUUUUUGGAAGGUGCUUUAGUUAAAUGGGGUUUUUCCGCACGGUGGAUUUCUCUUGUUACGGCUUGUGUGAGAUCUGUAAAGUAUUCAGUAAAAAUCAAUUUGAAGAUAUUGAAUUCCUUCAUACCUACAAGGGGUCUUCGUCAAGGUGAUCCCUUGUCACCUUUCUUAUUCCUAUUGGUUGCUGAUGCCUUAUCUGCUUUGGUACAAAAGUCUGUGGAGAAGGAGGGCUUCAAGGGUGUGGCAAUAUGUCGAAGGGCGCCCACUAUCACCCAUUUAUUAUUUGCAGAUGAUUCCCUUUUAUUUUUUGAAGCCUCACAACAUCAUGCAAUGUUGGUUAUAGGUUUGUUGAACACUUAUUCUUCAUCGACAGGGAAACUCAUAAACCCAUCAAAGUGUUUCAUCCUCUUUUCUGACAUUGUCCUGGUGCGGUGGUGGAGGACGUGAGAGGAAUUCUUGACAAAUCUCAACAAGUGUUUGACCCCAAAUAUUUGGGACUACCGGUUCCAGAUGGGAUAAUGAAUAAAGGUAUGUUUGAAAUAGUUCGGGCGAGUCUAAGGGUCUGUUUGGUUCUAAUAAGUCACCUGACUUAUAAGUCAGGUGACUUAAAACCAGUGACUUAUAAGUCACGCCUGUUUGGUUGUCACCUGACUUAUAAGUCAUCUGACCACACCUUUCCAUCUUGUUUUUUUAUGUAAAGGUGGGACCCACGCAAAAGGAGGUGACUUAUAAGUUUUAAGUUGGGGUGUAGCAACUUAUGACUUGUAAGUUGGGUCUGUUUGGCAAAAUAAGUCACUUUUUUCGCUUUUUGACUUAUAAGUUGGUGACUUAUUUGAAACCAAACAGACCCUAAGCAAGAGGCUAGUUGACUGGAGUGAGCAAUACAUGUCAGUUGGCAACAAGGAGAUAUUAAUUAAAGCAGUUGCGCAGCCUAUCCCCACACAUGUAAUAGUGUGUUCUAGUUGCCGGCAUCGGUUUUGUGAUGAUCUCACACGAACGAUGCAGCAGUAUUGGUGGGGGUGGAAAAAGGGAAAAGAAAGAUUGUCAUCCUCCUCAGGAUACUCCAACUCUGAGUCGGUCUCUGAGGGUUCCUUCGACCCUUCCAUGACCUCAAUAAAGUUAGUGUCGUCGGAAGUGUAGGGGGCAGGAGGGCUACGUCAGCGCACCUGAACCCUCGCUUGACAUUCGUGGAAGUCAUGGCAAAAGAAUAUUUGAUGCUCCAAAAAUGCUAGUUUUGAAAACAUUUUGGAGCUUUGAUUUUGUUAUUUUGCUAUCACUUCCACAAAAGUUAUUUCAUGUUGAAAUUUGUCAAGCAUACAAAACAUUUGUCAAAGUUAAAAAAAAAAGAUUUGUGGUAGAUCUUUUUUAUUAUUUUUAUUUUACUGUUCACCAAUGAGCAUUUGAGCUCGGGAUCAGAAAAGGAGUUUUGGUUUCAUUAUUUCUUCAUGAUAAAAAAAUGUGAGCAUGUACCGCUGAUCUCUGUUUUGUGAUGAAAUGUACCCAAUUACAGUGAGUAAAAUAGGAGAGUUUUACAUAACCAGGCAGCGGCAACAGAAAAGUAAAUUAUCUGAACAAAUAUUUAGAGUCGAGCCCGUCACAGACAACGCAAGAUUUUGUUUAUCCAACGGCCAACACACUCCCAUCUAAUGUAAAUUAUUUGAACAUAUAUUGGGUGCCAUCUUCUCAGCUCAACAUUUGCUAGUUAAUCAAACUGCUCUUCCAUCUCCACGUAGCUCUCAAUAAUCCGCAAGCAAAUCAAAAUCAAAUUGAAAAUCGAAAACUUUGGAAGUCUGGCUGGCUGACUGACUGCAAUGUGCCCUGGACUGAAGCUGAUCCUCCGCCUCGUUUUAGGCGUCAUGCGUCUGCAUCCAGUUUCAGAUCAUCUUCUCCUGGCAGAAAGGAAGAAACAUCCACAUUCAGCAAAUCGAAAACUUUUGAGUAAGCACACUGAACAAAUAUACAUACCCAGCGACCGCUUGCUCUAUAGCCUAUCGAGAUGAUAAACUAAGAUGCUACUGCUACCCCAUGAGACACAUCUUUAUCUUCAUUUCAGACAGUGUAAAAUCCACAAAGUAGUACUGGCGGUGGGGGACACUUGGCUAAAUAUGCCAAUGACACAGAAUAUAAUUUGAGAUACUAGUGGCACUGGGUAUAAGCCAAGUCUGUAAUCUUCUAAAUCCUUGAGAGGAACCAUUUUAAAUUGUAGCCUAAAUGAGGACCGUAAAACAGGUUGAAACCAGUAGCCGGUAGUUGCAGGUAAUAGUUCAGUUCAGAAACCAGUAUAGUUCGGUGGAGGGGAAAUGUAGAAUCAGAACCUAUGAUAUGGCCAGGCAAUAAUACCAAACAUAAUAAUUAUUAAAAAAACAAGUCUAAUGCAUCCGUCAUAACCGUUCAGAAAUGGUAAUCAUAUCAAAAGUAUUAGUUUGCUUGCACUAUAUGACAUCAUCACAACACAAGGGUGGUUAAGUCAAACAUGCAUUAUGGGCAUCUUCCUUGGGCAACCUGGUGCAUGUAGCUCCCGCUUGCGCAGGGUCCAGGGAAGGGUCCGACCACUUUGGGUCUAUAGUACGCAGCCUUUCCCUACAUUUCUGUAAGAGGCUGUUUCCAGGACUUGAACCCAUGACCUCAUGGUCACAAGGCAGCAGCUUUACCACUGCGCCAAGGCUCCCCUUCAUUAUGGGCAUCUUCCUUCUGAUGAAAAUUCUGAAUGAAUAAUUAUAGCAAAGGGGAACAAGCUUACAGGCACACAAUAGAACAGUAAUAUAAGUACAACUACGACUGCAACAAAAUGAAGCAUGAAACAAAGAAAGUACCUGUUGUGAUGAGUCAGACCCAAAAGGUGCGAGUACUUUCCCCUUUCGCUGACACAGUAUCUUCAACAGGGAGAUAAGCAACUUGUGGUAUUCACUCGUGGAAGAUUCAUACCAUGUAGUCAUCUCAUCGAGCCCCUUUGUUUACAUUCUUUGAUGCAACACUUCCACCAACAAGAGUACCAGGAAGUAACUAAGUGCACUACUGUCAGUGGUCCUUGAAGCAAAUAAAGAGAAAAGGCUAACGAAAGUGUUAACUGCAACGACAACCUGAUAACUCCAAUAGUUGUUUACACUGUAUGUGUGGAUACAUUGGGUCUUGCUUGUGUGGCAUAAAAUGGACCCAGUGGCUCUCGAACUUCAGUCCUAACAGUCAUCUAGAUAUAUAAUACAUUUAACAUUAUAAUUAAUAUUGUGAAGGAAACAACAUGGCCUAUCUUUUUGUGCUUGAUAAAGCUUAAGUAAUACAAGGCUUUCAAAAGGUGAUAAAUUUUUUGAAGUAGCUGUAAAACUGCCAAGUAUUUUCAUAACGCGAACACCAUUAUUCAAUUUUGAGAUCAGAUGUCCCUAGAAAAAGUACAAGCCAAUAGGCCAUCCAAAAAACAUAGAGCGAGAAAGCAAAAGCUGAUACAAAGUACUAGUAGUAAACAAUGACCUGCUUUCUUGUACAGUAAGUAUCUUAUAAACAGAGCAACUGCAGGGAAACGAAGGCUUUCAGCUUAGAAGAACUAAGAGGAAGGAACCAACAAACUAGUUCAAAACUACAUCCUCGGCAGUGGCCAUCAACAACUCCACAAUUGUUUCAGCUAUCCAAAGGGAAAUUUUGAGACUUCAAUUAAUAAUGACCAAAAUGAGAACAUUUUUCAUGGAUAGGUAGUCAAGGAUUGAGGGCAGGCCUGGCGCAGUGGUGAAGUCCUCCCCACUUGUGCCAAGAGGUCCUGGGUUCGAACCAGCCUCUCUGCAUUGCACUUUGCAGGGGUAAGACUAGGUUCCUAUAAUCCCUCCCCAGACCCCACCUUGUGUGGGAGCUUCUAUGCACUGGGUCUGUCCUUUAGGUAGUCAAGGAUUGCACUGAAAACUGCAAUGGUCAUUUGAGAACAUAAUGAUGGAGUAUGCAGACAUACUCUAUCUCUGAUAUUUGAAACCAUUUGCAGAAAUGCCCUGAUCUCACACACUCUUGGUUCCAUUAUGUGUGCCAAUAUGAUAUGAGGAUGGACAUGUUCACCAUAGUGCGAUGCUUCCUUCUCUACUGGAAUGGUGUGAUAGACAUACAAAGAAGUCACAAUCAAAUUAUCAGUUUCAUAUGGAAUUAGCGACACUAAAUUGACAUGUACCAGACAUACUAGAGCAGACAACAAACAUCCAAUUAGGCAAAUAACACCGAAACAGAAAUUACUAGCUGACUGCACAGAGCAUAAACUCUGCUGCGUCAUACACAGUCACCAAUUCUCAUAGCCCGCUCUUGGUUUAUGUAAAUCUGAAACUGGAAGGCACUUCCCCUCUGCAAGCUGCUGCAUAGUCUUCAGCAAGGUGUGGUGCAGCUUCCUUGUGAGGGCAUAUGAACUUCUCCACAAAUUCUUUCUCGCUGAUCAUGACUGCUCUAUAAUAGUCCCGG